AUAAGAAUCACCUGGGGAUCUUGCUAAAAUGUAAAUUCGGAUUGAAUAAGUCUGAAUCUAGGGUGGGACCUGAUUCUUCAUUUCUAACAAACUUCCAGGACAUACCUGU
RNAcentral lists this microRNA precursor (109 nucleotides) under Marmota monax (woodchuck). Lineage: Eukaryota; Metazoa; Chordata; Mammalia; Rodentia; Sciuridae. The record is from RNAcentral.